This is a long non-coding RNA of Equus quagga, 377 nucleotides long. RefSeq lists it as uncharacterized. The transcript has 3 exons. Lineage: Eukaryota; Metazoa; Chordata; Mammalia; Perissodactyla; Equidae. The record is from RefSeq and is a predicted model, not a curated record.
CCUCAGACUUGACUUUCACGAUCACAGCCAUCCCUUCCACAUACUUGUAACUCUGGCAUUCCUCCCUCCCUCCAACUCUCUCCUCCUUCACUUCUCUGCAUUCUCCACUCUCCUACAAAAACCUCCCUCCAGGUCCCCUAUUUUCAAAGAAAGCACAGGUAGAAAGUGGUUCAACGACUAUACAAAAGGCAGCCUGUAGCUACUUAAAUGCUUCAGAAAGACAAAGCCACAAUAGCAGAAUAUAGAAGAAGAAAAGUGAGACUGAAGAAAUUCUGCAACAAAUUCAACCAGACACCAGUCCCUGCCAUUGCUACGUCAGCAUUAUGCUUGAGGGACAUUAGCCCUGAGCUAACAUCUGUGCCAAUCUUCUACUUUAU